CAUAGGCGUGGGAAGCCAACCCGGGGAACUGAAACAUCUCAGUACCCGGAGGAAAAGAAAUCAACCGAGAUUCCCUCAGUAGCGGCGAGCGAACGGGGAAAAGCCUAAACCGUCUCUUCGGAGGCGGGGUUGCGGGACCUUCAUCACGAGUGAAUCAUCCUAGUCGAAGCGGUCUGGAAAGGCCCGGCACAGCAGGUAACACCCCUGUAGGCGAAAGGACGAGACAUCCAGAAGGGAUCCCAAGUACCGCGGGGCACGUGAAAUCCCGUGGGAAUCCGGGGGGACCACCCUCCAAGGCUAAAUACUCCUCAGCGACCGAUAGUGCACAAGUACCGUGAGGGAAAGGUGAAAAGCACCCCGGAAGGGGAGUGAAAUAGAACCUGAAACCGUAUGCUUACAAGCAGUCAAAGCCCGCAAGGGUGAUGGCGUGCCUUUUGUAGAAUGAACCGGCGAGUUGCGGUCACGAGCAAGGUUAAGGCGGUAAGCCGUAGCCGAAGCGAAAGCGAGUCUGAAUAGGGCGUCAAGUUCGUGGCUGCAGACCCGAAACCGGGUGAUCUACCCAUGUCCAGGGUGAAGCGGAGGUAAAACUUCGUGGAGGCCCGAACCGACCGACGUUGAAAAGUCGGCGGAUGAGGUGUGGGUAGGGGAGAAAUUCCAAUCGAACCCGGAGAUAGCUGGUUCUCCCCGAAAUAGCUUUAGGGCUAGCCUCGGGAUCAAGAAUGCGGGAGGUAAAGCGCUGAUAGGGCUAGGGGCCUUCACCGGUUACCGAACCCUGUCAAACUCAGAAUGCCCGCAUUUAUGCCCGGGAGUCAGACGGCGAGUGCUAAGAUCCGUCGUCAAGAGGGAAACAGCCCAGACCGACAGCUAAGGUCCCAAAGUGCCUGUUAAGUGGAAAACGAUGUGGAGUUGCCCAGACAACCAGGAUGUUGGCUUAGAAGCAGCCACCAUUGAAAGAGUGCGUAAUAGCUCACUGGUCGAGUGACUCUGCGCGGAAAAUGACACGGGGCUAAACAGGCCACCGAAGCUUCGGCAAGACGCAAGUCUUGGGUAGGGGAGCGUUCCUUGUGCAGCGAAGUUCAGCUGGAAGGCUGGGUGGAGCGCAAGGAAGUGAGAAUGCCGGUAUGAGUACGCGAAAAGGCAGGUGAGAAUCCUGCCCGCCGCAAGCCUAAGGUUUCCUGGGGAAGGCUCGUCCGCCCAGGGUAAGUCGGGACCUAAGCCGAGGCCGAAAGGCGUAGGUGAUGGACAACAGGUGGAGAUUCCUGUACCACGUUGGAUCGUUUGACCGAUGGGGGGACGCAGGAGGAUAAGUGAACCAUGCCGCUGGUCGAGCAUGGCCAAG
Molecule: ribosomal RNA, 1339 nt
Filed under: Heliomicrobium undosum
Lineage: Bacteria; Bacillati; Bacillota; Clostridia; Eubacteriales; Heliobacteriaceae
Description: Heliobacterium undosum partial 23S ribosomal RNA
Rfam family: Bacterial large subunit ribosomal RNA
Source: RNAcentral